RNAcentral lists this ribosomal RNA (292 nucleotides) under uncultured bacterium. Its description in RNAcentral is "partial 16S ribosomal RNA". The record is from RNAcentral.
GGACUACAAGGGUUUCUAAUCCUGUUCGCUCCCCACGCUUUCGCUCCUCAGUGUCAGGUAAGGCCCAGAGAACCGCCUUCGCCACCGGUGUUCCUCCCGAUAUCUGCGCAUUUCACCGCUACACCGGGAAUUCCAUUCUCCCCUACCUACCUCUAGUCUGCCCGUAUCCACUGCAAGCCCGAGGUUAAGCCUCGGGAUUUCACAGCGGACGUGGCAGACCACCUACGAGCUCUUUACGCCCAAUAAUUCCGGACAACGCUUGCGCCCUACGUGUUACCGCGGCUGCUGGCAC